This 331-nucleotide ribosomal RNA is filed under the name uncultured bacterium. RNAcentral describes it as "bacterial SSU rRNA". It matches the Rfam family "Bacterial small subunit ribosomal RNA", at positions 568 to 898 of the family's 1533-position model. The record is from RNAcentral.
CGCGUAGGCGGGUCAUCAAGUCCGGGGUGAAAUCCUCCAGCUUAACUGGAGAAUAGCCUUGGAUACUGGUGGUCUCGAGGGAGGUAGGGGCGGGUGGAACUUCCGGUGGAGCGGUGAAAUGCGUAGAUAUCGGAAGGAACGCCGGUGGCGAAAGCGACCCGCUGGACCUCUUCUGACGCUGAGGCGCGAAAGCCAGGGGAGCAAACGGGAUUAGAUACCCCGGUAGUCCUGGCCCUAAACGAUGGGUACUAGAUUGUAGACUAAACAUGGGUUUACAGUCGAAGCAAAAGUGUUAAGUACCCCGCCUGGGGAGUAUGGUCGCAAGGCUGAA